CAGAGCCCGCCAGCUGCUAAGCCAGGGCCACACCUGGGGGUGAUUUCAUGCCUCACCUCCAGUAGGCUCAUGGCCUCUCCGGGCUAACCUCUGGCUCCUUUGCACUAACUCUAGCUCCUCCCCCAGCUAAUCCCUGCCUCUCCCUGGCUGCCCCAAGGGGCUGACCCCUAGCAGCCAGCCCCGCCCAUCCAGGGGGGCUCCAGGCUCCUGGCCUGGCUUUGGCCGGCUUCUUUGAACCACCCUUUCCUCUGAACUAAUGUUGUGCCUUUCUGGUCUGUUCCUUCCGGCAGAAAUGAAUGGCUGUGGAUUUCUCUCUGACUAACAGGUCUCACACCCCUCUCCCUGUUACCACUAACGGCUUGGAUGGCGGCGUGGCUGGU
Molecule: non-coding RNA, 380 nt
Organism: Rattus norvegicus (Norway rat)
Lineage: Eukaryota; Metazoa; Chordata; Mammalia; Rodentia; Muridae
Source: Rfam